AAGAAGAUUCGCACAUUUCACAGAGGAGGGCAGAAAGAUGGCAGACGGUAGUGUGGCACCUGUUUUCCGUGUGCCACGAAAAAGGAAGCUGGACACUAUGGAUGGUAAUGGGCAGAUAAUAGUUGGGCCACCAGCAGCAACGUCAGCAGCUCCUACAGCCCCAACAGCAGCUCCAACAGUCCAGUGUGACAGCUGUGUCUCCAUUGAACAGGUGUUUAUUUCUUCACUAACCAUACAAUCUGGAUGACAAUAACCCAAACAAAGUUG
Molecule: long non-coding RNA, 267 nt
Organism: Alosa sapidissima (American shad)
Lineage: Eukaryota; Metazoa; Chordata; Actinopteri; Clupeiformes; Clupeidae
Exons: 3
Source: RefSeq, a predicted model, not a curated record